UAGUCAUAUGCUUGUCUCAAAGAUUAAGCCAUGCAUGUCCAAGUAUAAGCAAGUUAUACAGCGAAACUGCGAAAGGCUCAUUAUAUCAGUUACAACUUACGUGAUAGUGACUUGCUACAUGGAUAACCGUGGUAAUUCUAGAGCUAAUACAUGCACUGAGGCUCCUUCGGGGGCUGUAUUUAUUAGAUUUAAGCCAACCCGGGCGACCGGCAGGUGGUGAUUCAUGGUAACUGGGCGAAUCGCUGCGGCGAUGCAUCAUUCAGAUUUCUGCCCUAUC
RNAcentral lists this ribosomal RNA (277 nucleotides) under uncultured eukaryote. Its description in RNAcentral is "partial 18S ribosomal RNA". It matches the Rfam family "Eukaryotic small subunit ribosomal RNA", at positions 21 to 316 of the family's 1831-position model. The record is from RNAcentral.